CCUCAUUCUCCAGGUGGGCGCUUGAUGUUGACUUGAAACUUGAAAUGGAUUCCCUUGUUUUCCAGGUGGGCGCUUGUUGCUAACUUAAAACUUGAAAUGAAUUCCCUCGUUCUCCAGGUGGGCGCCUGAUGCUAACUUAAAACUUGAAAUGAAUUCCCUCGUUCUCCAGGUGGGUUCUCUAGGUGGGCGCCUGAUGCUAACUUAAAACUUGAAAUAAAUUCCCUCGUUCUCCAGGUGGGCGCCUGCUGACUUAAAACUGAAAUUAAUUCCCUCGUUCUCCAGGUGGGCGACUGAUGAGUUAAAACUUGAAAUUAAUUCCCUCGUUCUCCAGGUGGGCGCCUGCUACUACAAAAAAAAUAGACAAAACAAAAAAAACCUUUCUACCCCAGUUUACACUAGGAAGAUUUGUGAGUUAUUAGCAGAACUAUAAAUUACCUAUGCUAUUGAUAAAAGAUGCAAUGAUGAGAGUAAAAUUAAAGACUCGACUAGGAUGUGCGUCUCC
RNAcentral lists this long non-coding RNA (502 nucleotides) under Nicotiana tabacum (common tobacco). RNAcentral describes it as "long non-coding RNA (NTAB_LNC013841)". The record is from RNAcentral. Lineage: Eukaryota; Viridiplantae; Streptophyta; Magnoliopsida; Solanales; Solanaceae.